RNAcentral lists this transfer RNA (77 nucleotides) under Clostridium liquoris. RNAcentral describes it as "tRNA-Lys". It matches the Rfam family "tRNA". From Rfam's summary of the family: Transfer RNA (tRNA) molecules are approximately 80 nucleotides in length. Their secondary structure includes four short double-helical elements and three loops (D, anti-codon, and T loops). Lineage: Bacteria; Bacillati; Bacillota; Clostridia; Eubacteriales; Clostridiaceae. The record is from RNAcentral.
GCGCUAUUAGCUCAGUUGGUUAGAGCACCUGACUCUUAAUCAGGGUGCCCAGGGUUCGAGUCCCUGAUAGCGCACCA